RNAcentral lists this ribosomal RNA (446 nucleotides) under uncultured bacterium. Its description in RNAcentral is "partial 16S ribosomal RNA". It matches the Rfam family "Bacterial small subunit ribosomal RNA", at positions 338 to 795 of the family's 1533-position model. The record is from RNAcentral.
CCUACGGGUGGCUGCAGUCGAGAAUCAUUCACAAUGGGGGAAACCCUGAUGGUGCGACGCCGCGUGGGGGAAUGAAGGUCUUCGGAUUGUAAACCCCUGUCAUGGGGGAGCAAAUUAAAAAGAUAGUACCACAAGAGGAAGAGACGGCUAACACUGUGCCAGCAGCCGCGGUAAUACAGAGGUCUCAAGCGUUGUUCGGAAUCACUGGGCGUAAAGCGUGCGUAGGCGGUUUCGUAAGUCGUGUGUGAAAGGCGCGGGCUCAACCCGCGGACGGCACAUGAUACUGCGAGACUAGAGUAAGGGAGAGGGACCCGGAAUUCUCGGUGUAGCGGUGAAAUGCGUAGAUAUCACGAGGAACACUGGUGGCGAAGGCGGGUUCCUGGACAUUAACUGACGCUGAGGCACGAAGGCCAGGGGAGCGAAAGGGAUUAGAUACCCUAGUAGUC